AACAAUUGGGGGUAUUUGUAUGAAGCAGUACAAAAAGAUGUAGUCAGUUGCAAAAUCAAUGCUCGUUUGCAACCCAGAACUCAUUGUUAGGUGUGAGUUCUGACCCACACAAGAAGGACCACA
This is a small nucleolar RNA of Cricetulus griseus (Chinese hamster), 123 nucleotides long. Ensembl annotates it as small nucleolar RNA SNORA40. NCBI's taxonomy places the organism in Eukaryota, Metazoa, Chordata, Mammalia, Rodentia, Cricetidae. The record is from Ensembl.